Molecule: ribosomal RNA, 405 nt
Filed under: Fidelibacterota bacterium
Lineage: Bacteria; Pseudomonadati; Fidelibacterota
Description: bacterial SSU rRNA
Rfam family: Bacterial small subunit ribosomal RNA
Source: RNAcentral
AUGGUGGGAACUAUAAGGAGACUGCCGGUGAUAAACCGGAGGAAGGCGGGGAUGACGUCAAGUCAUCAUGGCCCUUACGACCAGGGCUACACACGUGCUACAAUGGGAAGGACAAAGAGCCGCGAAGCCGCGAGGUGUAGCUAAUCUCACAAAUCUUCUCGUAGUCCGGAUUGGAGUCUGCAACUCGACUCCAUGAAGUCGGAAUCGCUAGUAAUCGUAGAUCAGAAUGCUACGGUGAAUACGUUCCCGGGUCUUGUACACACCGCCCGUCAUACCAUGGGAGUGGGUUGCACCAGAAGUGGCUAGUCUAACUUAGUGAGGACGGUCACCACGGUGUGAUUCAUGACUGGGGUAAAGUCGUAACAAGGUAGCCCUACCGGAAGGUGGGGCUGGAUCACCUCCUUA